Molecule: ribosomal RNA, 405 nt
Filed under: bacterium enrichment culture clone ALO1_GLFRUDD03GUUUO
Lineage: Bacteria
Description: bacterial SSU rRNA
Rfam family: Bacterial small subunit ribosomal RNA
Source: RNAcentral
GAGUUUGAUCUUGGCUCAGAUUGAACGCUGGCGGCAUGCCUUACACAUGCAAGUCGAACGGCAGCACGGGAGCUUGCUCCUGGUGGCGAGUGGCGAACGGGUGAGUAAUGCAUCGGAACGUAUCCUGGAGUGGGGGAUAACGUAGCGAAAGUUACGCUAAUACCGCAUAUUCUGUGAGCAGGAAAGCGGGGGACCUUCGGGCCUCGCGCUCUUGGAGCGGCCGAUGUCGGAUUAGCUAGUUGGUGAGGUAAAGGCUCACCAAGGCGACGAUCCGUAGCAGGUCUGAGAGGAUGAUCUGCCACACUGGAACUGAGACACGGUCCAGACUCCUACGGAGGCAGCAGUGGGGAUUUUGGACAAUGGGGGCAACCCUGAUCCAGCCAUGCCGCGUGAGUGAAGAAGGCC